Cyanistes caeruleus (blue tit) is the source of this 1831-nucleotide long non-coding RNA. RefSeq lists it as uncharacterized. The record is from RefSeq and is a predicted model, not a curated record. Lineage: Eukaryota; Metazoa; Chordata; Aves; Passeriformes; Paridae.
GCUGAGUGGUCAAGUGUAUCAGAAAUAAAGCAAGCCGAUGCAUGUGGCAUGGUUCAGUGGAUGGAGCACUUCAUUCUGAAUCUGAAAAAGUUCUCUCUCUGCCACUCGUAUUUUUUUUUCUUUUCUCAGUGCUGAACAAUAUAUUUCAUCUUAAUUUAGGCAGCAAUGAGACAGGCUAUGUGCCUUUUAUUGAGAACUUUGAAAUUCAGUUGGUGUGUCAUCUUCUUCAGAUCAUCUCCCCGAGAACAUCUUAAAUUACAUGAUAACUGAGGAUGGAGGUCAUGGAGAGUGCAGAACCUUACAUCUGCUGCAGAAGUGCUGUGUUAUUCAUGCCCUGUUUCCUGCUGUCAGAAGAGCAAUCCCAUGAGACAAAUGUUCUCUACAGGACAGCACUACAAAACAAUGCCAGCACUGGAGCACAACUGAUGCCUGUCCUGCUGCAGCUGUAGGCUUCUCACCAACUUUAGGCAAUAUUCUGUUUCACAGGUGCUGGGCAGAGUGAUGCAGCCACAUCCAAGUGAUCCUACAUGAAGCCAGUGGGGGGUCUGGAUGGGCUUAUCCAGCCUGGUCUAGUGCAGCAUCUGCUGUGCCUGACCUGAGCUGGAUUGUGCUCUGGUACUGCCUGGCCCAGCAGUUGCAUGAAGAGAAAUUCAAUGAGGCUCUGAAGUGAUCUGCAGGCAGCCAGCCCAGCAGGGCUUGAUGAUUGCAGAAGUUUGAGGAUGGCAAGAUCUCACUGACAUGAUGCUCCUCCUGAUCUGGUGAAUCCAGCAGGACUGGAGCAACUGAGCCUGCUUUGGUUUGCAAUGAGGGCUGUGGCAAUGAAGUAGAUUUAUAAGAAACUGUCAGCCAUAGGUCAUUUAAGCUGUCACCACAUUAGUUCUGACACUGACGGUGCCAACACAACCUAAGUUUGGGGGUUUUUUUAAUUUUUUAUUGAGUAGAUUCUUGGCUUGGGAAAGAUAAAGCAAGCAACAGAUAAGGUUUUGUGCAGGGGCUAUUUUUCUUCCCUUUCCUUAACCAAAAAACUCCAAACCAAACCAUGUCUCUCCAGAAAUCCAAGAUAAAAUCUGCUUAGGCAAAAAGAUAUUAUGCUGAUAAAGCAGAGUGCUUGAAAGAAAGGUGUAUUCAUUAUCUUUAGAACAGAUGGGGAUCAGCAGGAAAGUUUUAAUGGACUACAAAACCUGUAAAGUUUUUUGAAUUCGUGAUUAUACCGUCUUGUAAAACUCGUAAUUGCCUCAAAGAGUAAUGAGUGGGCCUAAAACACAUUCACAUCAGUAGAAAUGUGCACGGAAUUUAAUACACCCUGAGUCAGAAUUAACUUGGAUAUGUUGAAUUUUAAUGUUAAACGAUCCUUCUCAUAAAACAUUUCAAAAGCAGAAAGCUGAAUUCUGAAGAGAAAAAGGCAUAGAAACAAAGCAGGUCUCUGGUAGCUAUUAAUUUGUGAGACAGCACUUAGAGAAUACUUCCUUGUAGAGUCACGUUGAAAACAAAGUGAAAAAAAUGGACUCGAAGUUGCAGGGCUGCAAUGUAAUGUGUGCAAUGAUUCAUGUGUAUUGUUAUGAAGGUGUUGGAAUAAAAUAAAGGAACUGAAUGUUCUCAUUGGAAUUCCCUUGAUAGAUUAGGAGGCAAAUAGUUGUCUAAGUAAAGGAUGGUAUCAGAAAAGAAAUGCAAUAAAUCAUCAGAUCUUUUCAACAGAGCCAUCAUUUCAUCUUGCGGAUAAUUCGGGACAGAAAAAGUGAGGUCAUACAUUAGAGACACGUUUUUCAUUCUCCCUUUGUUCUAAAGGAGAUAUCAGCAGGUAUAAAAUCCAGACUAGUUCUCAAUUCUCUUU